RNAcentral lists this ribosomal RNA (914 nucleotides) under uncultured bacterium. RNAcentral describes it as "bacterial SSU rRNA". It matches the Rfam family "Bacterial small subunit ribosomal RNA", at positions 9 to 873 of the family's 1533-position model. The record is from RNAcentral.
AGAGUUUGAUCCUGGCUCAGGACGAACGCUGGCGGCGUGCCUAAUACAUGCAAGUCGAGCGAGCUUGCCUAGAUGAUUUUGGUGCUUGCACUAAAUGAAACUAGAUACAAGCGAGCGGCGGACGGGUGAGUAACACGUGGGUAACCUGCCCAAGAGACUGGGAUAACACCUGGAAACAGAUGCUAAUACCGGAUAACAACACUAGACGCAUGUCUAGAGUUUGAAAGAUGGUUCUGCUAUCACUCUUGGAUGGACCUGCGGUGCAUUAGCUAGUUGGUAAGGUAACGGCUUACCAAGGCAAUGAUGCAUAGCCGAGUUGAGAGACUGAUCGGCCACAUUGGGACUGAGACACGGCCCAAACUCCUACGGGAGGCAGCAGUAGGGAAUCUUCCACAAUGGACGAAAGUCUGAUGGAGCAACGCCGCGUGAGUGAAGAAGGGUUUCGGCUCGUAAAGCUCUGUUGGUAGUGAAGAAAGAUAGAGGUAGUAACUGGCCUUUAUUUGACGGUAAUUACUUAGAAAGUCACGGCUAACUACGUGCCAGCAGCCGCGGUAAUACGUAGGUGGCAAGCGUUGUCCGGAUUUAUUGGGCGUAAAGCGAGUGCAGGCGGUUCAAUAAGUCUGAUGUGAAAGCCUUCGGCUCAACCGGAGAAUUGCAUCAGAAACUGUUGAACUUGAGUGCAGAAGAGGAGAGUGGAACUCCAUGUGUAGCGGUGGAAUGCGUAGAUAUAUGGAAGAACACCAGUGGCGAAGGCGGCUCUCUGGUCUGCAACUGACGCUGAGGCUCGAAAGCAUGGGUAGCGAACAGGAUUAGCAUACCCUGGUAGUCCAUGCCGUAAACGAUGAGUGCUAAGUGUUGGGAGGUUUCCGCCUCUCAGUGCUGCAGCUAACGCAUUAAGCACUCCGUCCUGGGGA